Molecule: transfer RNA, 67 nt
Filed under: Clymenella torquata (bamboo worm)
Lineage: Eukaryota; Metazoa; Annelida; Polychaeta; Maldanidae
Description: tRNA-Ile
Source: RNAcentral
GACAUUACGCCGGGCAUGAACGGACAGCUUUGAUGUAGCUGAUAACGAAGUACUUCUUCUAAUGUCU